GUUCUUAUAGCUGAAUUAACAGUGAUGAUUUUUCAUUUCAUUGGCUAUGGUUAGAGUCCACGUAAGAACA
This is a transfer RNA of Ovis aries (sheep), 70 nucleotides long. It matches the Rfam family "tRNA". From Rfam's summary of the family: Transfer RNA (tRNA) molecules are approximately 80 nucleotides in length. Their secondary structure includes four short double-helical elements and three loops (D, anti-codon, and T loops). Lineage: Eukaryota; Metazoa; Chordata; Mammalia; Artiodactyla; Bovidae. The record is from Rfam.